AAUAUUGCAGAUAAAAGCAACAGCCGUUUGGAAACACAGUAUAUUAAAGUGGCGGCAUCAAGAGGCUGUGGCCUGAAAUAAAUCCAAGCAAAGCCACAAGCGAUUCGUUUAGCUCACAUGUUUUAACAUCUAUGCUCUCAGUCUAAAAACUAGAGCUAAGCCCUGGAUUUCUUGAGAGGCUAGUGAUCGCCUUGUAGUGACGUAUAUUUCUUUUGGAAAACAGGUUGCCCAGAAGCCCUGAACAAAAAGGUAUACACUCAUUUUUAUUAGUGUCGGAGAACAUAUUCAGAAUUUGCAAAUUAUGAUCUGUUAAUAUUAUUGACUAUUUUUGUUUGCCGUGUCGCUUGAGUCAUCAGAAUCGUCCUCCGCUGGCUCUUAUUUCCUGUCAUGUGUUAGCAGGUCUGAUUGCACAGCCAGGAUGCUGCGUGUAGCUUUCACGUCCCUAAUGCGAUUUCCAUGAAGCACAUCCGGCAACCGAAAAAAAAUGACGCAAUAACGGUGGCUGGGGAAUAGAGAGAGCUAACCUGAUUUAGUCCCAAGUAGAUCCUUCAAGGCGAUAUGUAAAUGAUAUUUCUACAAACAAUUAAAACAUCUGGAAAUAACACUUUAUCAUAUGCAGAUGGUAAAUGAGAAGAAGGUGCAGAGCAUCACUUGAUGCUGGGCACCGCAUAACCUUUUCCUCCAAGUGAUUAUCUUGUGGAAAAUUCAUCAAGAUGAAUCAUUUCGACACCCUCCCACGGAUCUAAAGGUCAACCGUGAGAUUUCCCUCAGAAGUUGUCGGAAUGGACAAGCAAUUGAAGGCGACCAUUCAACUCUGUGACCUUGUCCUCUGUCGGCUAGCUGGGACAUGGGUUCGUCUCUGCGGCAAUAACAGCUGCUGGGGGGCUAUUCGGGACAUGGGUGAAGUUCCUCGACGUGUAGAGAUCAAGACCGCGAAGAAUGACAGAGACGAGCCCAGAACCCACAUCUGGGUGCAUCUCCUGCAGGAUUCUUCAUCUUGAUAUCAUCUUGACAUUAUCACCUCCAGUAUCUGCAGAAGAUGGGGCGGAAAUAAAGGUCCUCUGUAACAGUAC
This is a long non-coding RNA of Brienomyrus brachyistius, 1073 nucleotides long. RefSeq lists it as uncharacterized. The transcript is spliced from 3 exons. NCBI's taxonomy places the organism in Eukaryota, Metazoa, Chordata, Actinopteri, Osteoglossiformes, Mormyridae. The record is from RefSeq and is a predicted model, not a curated record.